Molecule: RNA transcript, 3839 nt
Organism: Neofelis nebulosa (Clouded leopard)
Lineage: Eukaryota; Metazoa; Chordata; Mammalia; Carnivora; Felidae
Gene: BAIAP2
Gene name: BAR/IMD domain containing adaptor protein 2
Exons: 16
Source: RefSeq, a predicted model, not a curated record
GCCGCGUUUCUGGUCCGGCUUCGCGCGCUGCCCGCCCGCUCCUGCCGCGCCCGCCUCCGUCGCCGCCGUCGCCCGUGCCCCCGCUCCGCUCCGCGGUGCCGCCGGACCAGCACCAUGUCGCUGUCGCGCACGGAGGAGAUGCACCGGCUCACGGAAAAUGUCUACAAGACCAUCAUGGAGCAGUUCAACCCCAGCCUUCGGAACUUCAUCGCCAUGGGGAAGAACUACGAGAAAGCCCUGGCAGGUGUGACCUACGCUGCUAAGGGCUAUUUUGAUGCCCUCGUGAAGAUGGGCGAGCUGGCCAGCGAGAGCCAGGGCUCCAAGGAACUCGGAGACGUUCUCUUUCAGAUGGCUGAAGUCCACAGACAGAUUCAAAAUCAGUUGGAAGAAAUGCUGAAGUCCUUCCACAACGAGCUGCUCACACAGCUGGAGCAGAAGGUGGAACUGGACUCCAGGUACCUGAGCGCUGCGUUGAAGAAAUACCAGACGGAGCAAAGGAGCAGGGGCGAUGCGCUGGACAAGUGCCAGGCCGAGCUGAAGAAGCUUCGCAAGAAGAGCCAAGGCAGCAAGAACCCGCAGAAGUACUCGGACAAGGAGCUGCAGUACAUUGACGCCAUCAGCAACAAGCAGGGCGAGCUGGAGAACUACGUGUCGGACGGCUACAAGACCGCGCUCACCGAGGAGAGAAGGAGGUUCUGCUUCCUGGUGGAGAAGCAGUGCGCCGUGGCCAAGAACUCCGCCGCCUACCACUCCAAGGGCAAGGAGCUGCUGGCACAGAAGCUGCCGCUGUGGCAACAGGCCUGCGCCGACCCCAACAAGAUCCCGGAGCGCGCGGUGCAGCUGAUGGCCAGCAGCAACGGCUCCGUCCUCCCCAGCGCCUUGUCGGCCUCCAAGUCCAGCCUGGUCAUCUCAGACCCCAUUCCGGGGGCCAAGCCUCUGCCGGUGCCCCCUGAGCUGGCCCCGUUUGUGGGGCGGCUGUCCGCCCAGGAGAGCGCGCCCGUCAUGAAUGGCGUCUCGGGCCCUGAUGGCGAGGACUACAGCCCCUGGGCCGACCGCAAGGCCGCCCAGCCUAAGGCCUCGUCCCCACCACAGUCACAGAGCAAGCUGAGCGACUCCUACUCCAACACGCUCCCCGUGCGCAAGAGCGUGACACCGAAAAACAGCUACGCUGCCACUGAGACCAAGACCCUGCCCCGCUCCAGCUCCAUGGCAGCCGGCCUGGAGCGCAACGGCCGCAUGCGAGUGAAAGCCAUCUUCUCCCACGCGGCCGGGGACAACAGCACCCUGCUGAGCUUCAAGGAGGGCGACCUCAUCACCCUGCUAGUGCCCGAGGCCCGUGACGGCUGGCACUACGGGGAGAGCGAGAAGACAAAAAUGCGGGGCUGGUUUCCGUUCUCCUACACCCGGGUUCUGGACAGCGACGGCAGCGACAGGUUGCACAUGAGCCUGCAGCAGGGAAAGAGCAGCAGCACGGGCAACCUCCUGGACAAGGAGGAGCUGGCACUGCCACCGCCCGACUACGGCACGUCCUCGCGCGCCUUCCCUGCCCAGACGGCCGGCACCUUCAAGCAGAGGCCCUACAGCGUGGCUGUGCCUGCCUUCUCCCAGGGUCUAGACGACUAUGGAGCGCGGGCUGUGAGCAGCGCCGAUGUGGAAGUGGCCAGGUUCUGAGCCGCCCCUGACUAGAGUUAGAUGCAGAGAGGCUUCCAUUUCCAACCCCCCCUCCGACGCCCCACCGCUGCCCCCGCUGCCCCCAUCGCUCUGAGCUGCAGGCCUGGCCUCUGCCUGGGACCACGUCCCCCGGUGUAGGACGGGGCCCCGGGGGCACGGUGGGCAUCAGCACAGCGCCACCAGCCAGCCUCCCAGCCGCAGAAUCAGCCUGGCUCCAAGAUUCGGCUGGGGGUGGGGUGCCAAAAGUCCCCCGGGUCGGUCAAAGCACCCGGACCAAGCCUGCCUGAGGUGUGGCCCUGGGGGGACCGAACGACAAGGAUCCGAUCCCAGAAGGGCCGAAGUCCCGAAGGCACGGCAACCGCUUUGGUCUCGGAGGAGGAAGUUCAGGAGGAAGUGGAAAUGCACCCCGGCCGCUCCCUCACUCUGCUCCAGGAUCACCGAAGGACGGAAACCGUACCCUGUGAGGAGACGCGGCCGUUCCCAGCCGACCCGGUUCUCGCUCAGUUGGCGGAUUCGAAACAAUUACAGGCGACUCCCUAAACCCUCGGCAUAGCGCUUCCCUUGAGAUUGGAACGGAAAGGCGCUCGGCCCUCCUCGGGCUGCAGGGUUUGCAGGCGGGGGCUGUGGGCUCAGGACCCCGCGAUGCCCCCAAGGGCUGCCCCUUGAAUGCAGCGCCGGACCCUCCGGGGGCUUCAGCCUGCCCUGCCUGCGGGAGGAGCCUGGACGGCUCCUGUGGCCUCUGCUCGGUUCCGUCCGCUGAGUUUGCUUACGUCUUGGUGGUUUGCUGCCGGGCGUCCACCCCUGGCAAGCACCCCAAGCGGGGACAAAUGUCCCCGGGGCCAGAGACUGGGCCUUGGGUCUGAACUUAGUCCUGUUUUGCCAUCUUGGUGUUGACCCGCCCAGGGUCGCACUGACACCCUCCCGUUCCUUCACAGAAGGUGGUAGGCGCCCUAGACGCCCCCACCCAGGGGCCUCUGGUCGGGGCUGGGCUGGGCGCGGCUGCAGGGGGAGGCCGGGGGCGUCUUCAGCCCGCAGUGUUGACGGUGCGUGCUCCCCGCUCACCCUGUUUGGGGGAAGAUGAAGAAAGUGGGGCUCAGAGGCCAGACAUCGUCUUGCGGGGAGGCCUGUCUGGCUGUGCUGCUGCCCCGACCCACCUGGCCUGACCCCUCUGUACUGGCUCCAGCCAGCACAGGAGCUGCCCUCCCUCCCCGGGCUUAGGGCCUGAGCUCCGUCCUCGGCUCGGUCCCCAACUCCAGAUGAACAAGAUUGGCCGAGUUCCAGCCCCCCAGGGCAUCUGCCUUGACCCGGGCCGGGAACAGCCAAGGCCCGGAGCCUUCCUUCAGAACCAGAGUCUAGGCAAGGUGGCAGUCAGGGCACGGGCCACCGCCCUGUCCCGGGGGCGGAUGUCACUGGUCACAGGAGACUUGGCCUUGGGAGCUUCCAGGCGGCCAAAAAGCUGAAACUCGUCUGUACGCGUCAGCGGAACAGAGCGCCAGAGCGCAUGGAGGAGCCUGAGGCCCCACGUGGGGCUGCAGUGGCCUCGAAGCCAGGGGUCGAUGACUCAGAGGACAGUCGUAAGCAGCGUGCCCACACGGGACUCUCAGCCAUCAUCCCGGAGACGGGGACGGGGACUUCAUUCGCCAAGAAGUUAGCUACUGUCUGCCGCUGCUCCUCUUAAAAGUUCAGUCCCAAGUGUCUCAGUUUUUUAGAAAACACAGGGAGGCGCCCCCGCCCCACACGCUCUCCCUGGGCACUGGACAGAGCGCCUGCCCGCCGCGUGGACACCAGCCCAGCUGCGCCAGAGGCGACUCCGGCCCCAGGAAUCCCUUCGCCAACGUCCAGCUGAAGCCGACAGUGACCAACGACAGGUCCGCCCCCCUCCUCAGCUGAUGGCCAAGUCCCCACCGCUGCCCGCCAGGACCCUCCUGCCCCGCCCACACACACAACCUCUUUUGUAACAAUCUGCGUGGUCCCCAUUUGGAGAAUUUUCUCCUUCACCUGCCUGGCUCUGCCCCCACCGGAGUCUGGCCUGGGCUGGACCCCGGCUGUUUUCGGAGGUGGCCCCUGGGCCAUGGCUGAGGAGAGUGGGGCCGACAGUGGCCCCCGCUCGUGCAGGGAGGGACGCUCCACCAGCCCCACGUGUCUGGUCAAUAAACAGGCUGCCCCAC